UGCUGACAGUCGCGGUGGGGCAGUUUCCGAGCGUGUCUUCUCUGGAAGAGUCGCCUCAGACCCGCUUCUCAGAGUGGGAUCUAGGGGCGGGGGCGAGGCCAUCCCUGUCCCGCCCGGGGAAGGUGAGGCUCGGCGGCGGGGACCUCCCCCCGCGAUCAGAACGCGUGGUCACCAGGCCUUUGGGUCGGCUGGUGACUUCCCCCGUGCGCCUUACCUCCGGAGAUGCCCCUGGACGGAAGACGGAUGCUCGAGAGGUGACGGCACCGGCGGGGCCAGGACGCCGGAAGCCCCCUCCCACGCGGCCCCCUCUGAGGGGCCUCCUGUGGGCCAGCGCCACGCGCUGCGGCGCCUUGACGCGCGGAUCGGGCCCGGGAGCCGGAGGGGCGGCGUACGAGCCCCGGAGCUGGGGAGGCCGCCCGUGACCCCAGGCUGGAGCCCGGCGCUGUGGGGUGUCUGUCCCACGCGGCACCUCGCCCUGCGUCUGAGCGCCGGCGGAGGGGUUGUGCGCGGACGCGGAGUGCGGGAGUGGUCGGCCGCCGCCGCCGCCUCGAGUCUCCGCGAGGGCGAGAAUAGGUGGAGACGGGAACGGACCGGGGGGAAGCCAGAGCCAGUCCGUCGCUGAGAGCCAGUCCGUCGCUGAGCCAGUCUCGUACAGACGAGAAACCGACAGUCACGUUAGCGGUUCGAACAACCCUUCAAGACCGUAUCUCAGAUGUUUUAGAGGUCACUGUCGGUUACUUCUUUGGGGUCCCCCCCCCAUACCUCGGGCAAAGGAGAGAAUGAAAUGCAGCUUCCAACCAAUCGAGCGCACGCACACCUACAGAAGUGGAAACGGUGCGCGUUUGACCCUACUGCCCUGUCGCAGUUACUAAACACAUCACGAAGGAGUAGGACUCGCUUUCUUUUCUCCCCGGGUGUAUGAAUGGGAAUCACAACACGCAUAUUUCUUGUGAUGGAGCUUGACUCCCUCGAGUUGGCUGGAUUGGUGACUGAGUAUGCAAAGAGAAAAAUGGUAACUCGACAGCAGAGGAAACUGGCAGACACCACCCUUACCGCCUGAUGGAGGCUAACAUCAUUAGUAAUGUCAUGUUCACACCAGGUAUGAGCACACGGCAACAAAACUGUUCUGGGAUGUCCUUUCCCAAAACCCCCAACUUCACUCAUCACAAAAAAAAAAAAAAAAAAAAAAAGAGAGAGAGAGAGAAAAGAAAAA
Mustela erminea (ermine) is the source of this 1213-nucleotide long non-coding RNA. RefSeq lists it as uncharacterized. NCBI's taxonomy places the organism in Eukaryota, Metazoa, Chordata, Mammalia, Carnivora, Mustelidae. The transcript has 2 exons. The record is from RefSeq and is a predicted model, not a curated record.